Molecule: non-coding RNA, 45 nt
Filed under: Schistosoma mansoni
Lineage: Eukaryota; Metazoa; Platyhelminthes; Trematoda; Strigeidida; Schistosomatidae
Source: RNAcentral
AUCCAGCUGACGAGUCCCAAAUGGGACAAAAAACGCGUCCUGGAU